UUCUUUAUAAACACAAGUACAUAAUGUUUAUUUCAAAUUCCAAUUUAUUACAAGUUUACCCUUUAAUGGGGCCCUUCCUCCUUUAAAGACAAUUAAAAAAAAAAACAAACAACAAACAAUUCAGUUGUCACUGAAGUGGGAACACAGGAUUCUCACUGUGAACAAUAGACCGGCUCUCAGGUAAAAAGGCAGGGCAAGGUGUUGGUGGCUGGACUAGGGAACUGGAGCGUCAGUGCUAACUCCGAAGCUGUGGGAGAAGGGACAGGAAACCUAUCCAGCAACCACUGGAGCAAAUCCCCACAGUCUCCGGGAAGGGCAGGCGGGGCGAGACCGGGACCACACCUCCAAGUUCUGUAGUAAGAGGCUUUAUUCUCAAGUUCUAGGAGCUGCAAUCCCCUUGGUGGACAAGUUUUCCCUUAAAUUAAGUUCAGAAGAGCUGAGCUGCUCACAUUUUCUAAAUUCAAAGCUGAUAGAAAAGAAAAUUAAACCCUGUUUUGCAUUUUUAUCAAAAUCUGCCAUAAAAGGGAAAGACGACUACCAAGUUCUGCCUAACUAGAGCUACUAGCGCCAGACUCCUAGUUGAAGGGGCCAGCCGAGCCCCUCCUCCCUCUGCCCGCCCCCUUGCACUGACAUGGACCCCUGUGAGAGGACCCCUGCGCAAGACUGAUCAGCUUAUCAAUCUCACAGAGCUCUGCAUCUGAGGCCAGAACAGGCUCAGGAGGAGGGAGGCGGCUGUUGGAGAUGGAGGAGGCAGAAAGCUGCCAGGGCAGGCAAAGGGACAUACCCUUCCCCACCAGGUCCCACUGCUUGUCCUGCUGACCCUCCAACCCUGCUUCUCUGAAGAGAGAGAAUGGGCUGAGGGAGGAGACGGGGCAAAAGAAAGCAAACACAUUAUCAUAUAAACUGUACUGUACAUGUGCCAAAGCAAGAUGACAGAAAUAUUUUACAAGAUGUUCUUUAUACAAUAUCACUGCUGAAACAAGCAACUUUUAAUAACUAGAAAAGUCAAUUUAAAAAAAAUUAAACAUUUAAAUUCUUCCUGCUUUUCUUCUGCUCCCCUAAGAGCUUGUGUCUGGUAUGUGGGUGGGCUGGGCUCCAACACCCCUCUGGCCAGAUCCAUCCAAGUAAAGGUUAUAUGCAUGAUUAUAAGCAGGACUCCAGUCUCUAAGUGAAGUGCCUUAGGUUCUUUGUGUGUGUGUGUGUGUGUGUGGGGGGGGGUGUUUUUUUAAGUUUUUUUUGUUUUGUUUUUGAAGGGGUGAGGUGGGGUGGGAGAGGGGAGAGAGCUGUCACAAAGAAGGGGAAGGGUAUUCAGGAAUGGCUCCAGGACAUGUCCCUUUACUCCGCAAAGAGCAACUCAAAAGAGCAAUGAUGCUGGUGAAUACAGAAUGCGGUAUGGCACUCACUGAUACCGUCACCUGAGGGAGGGGAGGGGAGAGACCGAGGACGGCUUCAAGAAACAAGACUGUGUGAGUAGAGAUUAUAAAAAAUUAACCCCGCCUCCCCAGUUGGCCUGAUUACCCCUGAUCCUUCCAUGUAAUACAGUAAUUCCUCCCCUGGAGACCAGGGGCUUGGCACUGUCAUGGUGGCCAAAGUGGGAGGGACCGUAGGAAAGAAGAGAAUUAAGGGACGUGGGCCCUCGAGAAAGCCGUACCCUUGGCCUCUCCCUGGAAACUCUCAGCAGGGCUAAGGCCGCCUACCGCCCAUGGUACCUCUGGGCAGAGACCAGCC
Molecule: long non-coding RNA, 1728 nt
Filed under: Canis lupus familiaris (dog)
Lineage: Eukaryota; Metazoa; Chordata; Mammalia; Carnivora; Canidae
Description: lncRNA (ENSCAFG00845003548.1)
Source: RNAcentral